This 588-nucleotide ribosomal RNA is filed under the name uncultured bacterium. RNAcentral's name for it is "partial 16S ribosomal RNA". It matches the Rfam family "Bacterial small subunit ribosomal RNA", at positions 355 to 937 of the family's 1533-position model. The record is from RNAcentral.
UGGGGAAUAUUGGACAAUGGGCGCAAGCCUGAUCCAGCCAUACCGCGUGGGUGAAGAAGGCCUUCGGGUUGUAAAGCCCUUUUGUUGGGAAAGAAAUCCAGCUGGUUAAUACCCGGUUGGGAUGACGGUACCCAAAGAAUAAGCACCGGCUAACUUCGUGCCAGCAGCCGCGGUAAUACGAAGGGUGCAAGCGUUACUCGGAAUUACUGGGCGUAAAGCGUGCGUAGGUGGUCGUUUAAGUCUGUUGUGAAAGCCCUGGGCUCAACCUGGGAACUGCAGUGGAAACUGGACGACUAGAGUGUGGUAGAGGGUAGCGGAAUUCCUGGUGUAGCAGUGAAAUGCGUAGAGAUCAGGAGGAACAUCCAUGGCGAAGGCAGCUACCUGGACCAACACUGACACUGAGGCACGAAAGCGUGGGGAGCAAACAGGAUUAGAUACCCUGGUAGUCCACGCCCUAAAACGAUGCGAACUGGAUGUUGGGUGCAAUUUGGCACGCAGUAUCGAAGCUAACGCGUUAAGUUCGCCGCCUGGGGAGUACGGUCGCAAGACUGAAACUUAAAUGAAUUGACGGGGUCAUAGCUGUUUCCG